Molecule: unclassified non-coding RNA, 646 nt
Filed under: uncultured Prochlorococcus sp.
Lineage: Bacteria; Bacillati; Cyanobacteriota; Cyanophyceae; Synechococcales; Prochlorococcaceae
Description: partial 16S-23S ribosomal RNA intergenic spacer; may also contain 16S ribosomal RNA and 23S ribosomal RNA
Rfam family: tRNA (bases 305-377)
Source: RNAcentral
UUGUGGAGGAGGACGCCGAAGGUGGGGCUAAUGACUGGGGUGAAGUCGUAACAAGGUAGCCGUACCGGAAGGUGCGGCUGGAUCACCUCCUAACAGGGAGACAACAAAAUGUUUAAUAUUAUUAUUUUGUCACCUUAGGUCGAUCGGUAUCUCACGUUUUUAAUUUAUUAAGAAUUUCAUUUCCUAAGUUUUUCUAGGUCACACCCAUUAUUUUUCCUGGGCCAUUAGCUCAGGUGGUUAGAGCGCACCCCUGAUAAGGGUGAGGUCCCUGGUUCAAGUCCAGGAUGGCCCAUAUCUCUAUGUUGGGGGUAUAGCUCAGUUGGUAGAGCGCCUGCUUUGCAAGCAGGAUGUCAGCGGUUCGAGUCCGCUUACCUCCACUGAUUACCACCUCUUCCAUAACCGGUAGAAAGGAAAUUUUUUGAGUUGUGAUCAAAUUCUGAAAGAAUCUAGCUUCCUAAUGAAAUCAUUAAGAUGCUGGACUCAUUGAAUUAAUUUCAUUGUUUUCAGAGAACCUUGACAACUGCAUAGAUUAUUUUUAAAGACAAUAAGCAUCUUUAAUGAUGCAGAUUUAUUAUUUGUGCGAAUGCAUUAAUAACAAUUCUAUUAAGCUGAUGCUUCAAUUUUGAAGUUAUUGGUCAAGCUACAA